This 484-nucleotide ribosomal RNA is filed under the name uncultured bacterium. RNAcentral describes it as "partial 16S ribosomal RNA". It matches the Rfam family "Bacterial small subunit ribosomal RNA", at positions 30 to 507 of the family's 1533-position model. The record is from RNAcentral.
AUUGAACGCUGGCGGCAGGCCUAACACAUGCAAGUCGAGCGGAUGAAGGGAGCUUGCUCCUGGAUUCAGCGGCGGACGGGUGAGUAAUGCCUAGGAAUCUGCCUGGUAGUGGGGGAUAACGUCCGGAAACGGGCGCUAAUACCGCAUACGUCCUGAGGGAGAAAGUGGGGGAUCUUCGGACCCCACGCUAUCAGAUGAGCCUAGGUCGGAUUAGCUAGUUGGUGGGGUAAAGGCCUACCAAGGCGACGAUCCGUAACUGGUCUGAGAGGAUGAUCAGUCACACUGGAACUGAGACACGGUCCAGACUCCUACGGGAGGCAGCAGUGGGGAAUAUUGGACAAUGGGCGAAAGCCUGAUCCAGCCAUGCCGCGUGUGUGAAGAAGGUCUUUGGAUUGUAAAGCACUUUAAGUUGGGAGGAAGGGCAGUAAGUUAAUACCUUGCUGUUUUGACGUUACCAACAGAAUAAGCACCGGCUAACUUCGUG